GCACGUGUGCGCGUGUCGUGUGGCUGGACGCCCUUCCCUUAAUGGUGGCCUGUAAAGCAUUAUGUUCUUUGAAGUCUCACUUCUACUUUCGACGGCUCUCGGCUUCGAAUGGUAUCUACGAGGCGCGUUGAAUGAGACGUCCGAAGAACGAGGACAUGAAACCGACUCCAUUGUCGUCCACUUCCCGUCGUUGAGUACAGAAAUGUCAUACUGUACGCUAAAGAAAAUGGAAGAUUGGAUGCUGCUUCUGUUUACUAUGUUUUUGCUGGAGUAUAUUCUUGACAACAAGUUGGUCAACAACUUGCUUGCACGCCAAGAAGUUGUACCGAUGAGGUUGCGUGCCAAUUUCAAGAACCAGUGUGAGGAACUAAAGAGGAGAGCAUUCUACACACACUUAAUUUUGACAUUACUUCCCGCUGCGGAUACAGAUAGGUAUCUGGCUGUACACGGUGGUAUCGUCGCAGCACACAUGCUCUUCUCUCAAGACUUCAACGACACAACUAUGCAACUGCUGCAGACUGUUUUCACUCACGAAUCAUCGGUGAUUCAAACUAUGCAAACAAUUUAUUUGACAUCACGCACACUACAGUUAAUCGUCGGAAUCUGCGGCUUGGUCAAAGAGGGAUUGGCUUGCUGCGGAAGCGGCCAACUUUGGUCUGUUGCCAUAACAGUAUUGAGUGACGUGUUUGCCCUCGGAGAGUUGGCGCUGGCGGCAAUAACACCAUUGUCUGAUAUUACUCUUCUUUAUUUUACCAAUUGAAUUAGGUCGUCCACUGCCCGUCGUUGAGUACAGAAAUGUCAUACUGUACGCUAAAGAAAAUGGAAGAUUGGAUGCUGCUUCUGUUUACUAUGUUUUUGCUGGAGUAUAUUCUUGACAACAAGUUGGUCAACAACUUGCUUGCACGCCAAGAAGUUGUACCGAUGAGGUUGCGUGCCAAUUUCAAGAACCAGUGUGAGGAACUAAAGAGGAGAGCAUUCUACACACACUUAAUUUUGACAUUACUUCCCGCUGCGGAUACAGAUAGGUAUCUGGCUGUACACGGUGGUAUCGUCGCAGCACACAUGCUCUUCUCUCAAGACUUCAACGACACAACUAUGCAACUGCUGCAGACUGUUUUCACUCACGAAUCAUCGGUGAUUCAAACUAUGCAAACAAUUUAUUUGACAUCACGCACACUACAGUUAAUCGUCGGAAUCUGCGGCUUGGUCAAAGAGGGAUUGGCUUGCUGCGGAAGCGGCCAACUUUGGUCUGUUGCCAUAACAGUAUUGAGUGACGUGUUUGCCCUCGGAGAGUUGGCGCUGGCGGCAAUAACACCAUUGUCUGAUAUUACUCUUCUUUAUUUUACCAAUUGAAUUAGGUCGUCCACUGCCCGUCGUUGAGUACAGAAAUGUCAUACUGUACGCUAAAGAAAAUGGAAGAUUGGAUGCUGCUUCUGUUUACUAUGUUUUUGCUGGAGUAUAUUCUUGACAACAAGUUGGUCAACAACUUGCUUGCACGCCAAGAAGUUGUACCGAUGAGGUUGCGUGCCAAUUUCAAGAACCAGUGUGAGGAACUAAAGAGGAGAGCAUUCUACACACACUUAAUUUUGACAUUACUUCCCGCUGCGGAUACAGAUAGGUAUCUGGCUGUACACGGUGGUAUCGUCGCAGCACACAUGCUCUUCUCUCAAGACUUCAACGACACAACUAUGCAACUGCUGCAGACUGUUUUCACUCACGAAUCAUCGGUGAUUCAAACUAUGCAAACAAUUUAUUUGACAUCACGCACACUACAGUUAAUCGUCGGAAUCUGCGGCUUGGUCAAAGAGGGAUUGGCUUGCUGCGGAAGCGGCCAACUUUGGUCUGUUGCCAUAACAGUAUUGAGUGACGUGUUUGCCCUCGGAGAGUUGGCGCUGGCGGCAAUAACACUAUUGUCUGAUAUUACUCUUCUUUAUUUUACCAAUUGAAUUAGAGCAUUCACAAUGACCUGGCAGAGAUUCCGUCUCACCUUCUCCUGCAGUUCUUCCUCAAAAGAUGAAGCAGAGUGCCACAUAUGCUGCAAGUGAUUUCUUUUCUUGUGACGUUUGCUAAAAAGAAGAAACCAAAACGUUCUCAGGAGCAGCUCUAUUUGUACUACAUGCGUUACACGUUGCAGUGAGCCUGAGUUAUUGAGGUGCAAGUCCCCUAGUGGAAGGUGUGACACUGGGCGUGAUGGCAGGGCACAGGCCGCGGGUUCAAGCCCCAUACCUGUCGAGCGACAAGCAGCAGCUCAGCUUUCACGAGGGGGACAUGAUCAUGCUCAUUGGCGAUCACAACAAAGGAUGGCAGUACGAUGUCAACCUCAGAAGCAACAGCUACCACUUGGGUCAACACCGGUGGAGAACAUUGAGUUGAUAUGUAAUCGUAUCGAUGGCUGUGACGUGUAUCAUCAGCACAAAUAUGUGGUGUCCAUAACAUGUUGAUCAUGGUGCGUUUCCAGAUCCUGGAAUUGCUUCUGGCACUUGCAGUAUGCAAAGGAAUUGCGUUCGAGACUAGCUUCCGCUCUGUGAUGUGCAAAUGAAAAAAAAAAAAUAAUAAUGGUGGCAGUUCCUUUGCGCAUAAGUUCAUGGAAGUGCGGAGUGUAAUUGCUCUGUAACCGGUUUCAAGCAUGGAGUAGUCCCAAAUAUACAUUUGAGACUUAGAACUAAGCAACUGUUACAAAUACAGGUGAACCUGAAAGCGUAAUGACGCAUUGUACUGUGGAACCCCGGUUAUGUCUCCCGGUUUUGCAAUGACCCCAAUUUUAUGACAGAUUAGUGCAGUUCCAGUGAAGUCCCCAUAUAAGCAGUGCAUUAAAAACCUGUUAUCUGACACACUUUUACGCCUGACCUGCGUUAUACAACGACCCAGGUGGAGCGCGGGACCGAACAGCAAACGAAGGAAGGGGAGGAAAGUGCCGUGAACUUCUCCUCGCACCGUCGAUUUCUUCCCUGUUCCUUGUCUCAUGGUUCGUUUUUCUUUCUCCCCCCAUCCCCCAGCAGCUGCUAGCGCUGCCUGCUGUGCCGAAAUAGCGCCCUUCUCCACAAUCACUUUCUCCGUCUUACUGGUGUUGCCUCUUGUCAUGCUGGAAAAGCGUUCCAAGCAUUCCAAGUUAUCUCUCUCACAGCAGCAGCAGAUCACCAACCAGGUUACAGCGAGAGGCUUAGGUGUUCGCAUGCAUUCGUCGCGAAGUUGUGGGUUGUGCCGCGCACUGACUGUGCGUGGUGUCCCAAAAGUGAACAGUUCUGUUGUUUGGCGAUAAGCGGAACAUCAUCGAGGAGGCAGAAAAGCGACAUGGAACCAUGAAAGCUAGUAUUGCCCAGGAUCUGAAGAUACCUGAAUCUUAGCUUAAGAUGAUCUUGGAGAAUGCAAACAAGUUCGAGCUCAAACAGAAGGCGGCAAAAGAAGGUCAACACAAGAAGUUGGAAAAGGUUUAGUUAAGUGACUGCAUCAAGCAUGGAGCUCUGUGAUCAUCGUUGGUGGUGCAAUUCUCAAAGAAAAAGCUAACCUUGUUAUCUUUUUCAGGCAUCGAACGGGUGGCUGAACCAUCUUAAAAAACGAAACAGGAUUGUGUCUAGCCACUUCUGCAGAGAAAGCACCUCCGUGGACAUUUCGACAGUGAACCAGUGAGUGUAGUUUCUGCUGGAGAUGAUUGCGGCAUACAAGCCCUGCGACUUAGCGCCGACAUGAGCGGCAUUUUUUACCACAUGCAGCCCGGGCAAACCCUUGUGUUUUAGGGUCACAGCUGUCGUGGUGGCAAGCGGAGUAAGGAGCAUUUGAUGGUGCUAUUCUGUGCUAACGAGAAUGGUUCUGAGAAGCCGCCUGUGCUCAUAAAUAGGAAAUUUGCUAAGCCACGGUGCUUAAAAACUUGAAGAUUCUGCGAUGCAGCUGCAACUUUAAUGAAAAGGUCCUCACUCUUCACCGACGUUCUCACUCUUCACCAAUUUUUUGCAGCAGCUCAACAGCAAAAUGGGUGCUAAGCCAAGGAAGAUACUACUUUUCGUGGUCAAUGCACCAUGCCACCCACCAGAUACAUCCAGCCUGAGGAAUAUAAAGGUAGUGUUCUUUCUCCCCACUGUACAAGUGGGCUGCAGCCGCUGGAUGCCAGCAUCAUAGAGUGCGUGAAGCAAGGCUAUUAGAAGCAGUUAGUGUAGCGUUGGCUGGCAGCUAUGGAGUGCAACAAGUCGGAAAAGGUUUCUCUGCUUGACGCCAUGCAUAUCAUUGCAAGUUUGUGGAACGCAGUAACACAGAGCACAAUCACCAAUUGUUCAAACAUUGUGGCAUCAAGUGAGAGGCUGCCUCCUAUGCUGCCGGCAUGACAACCUCUAUCAACUGCACUCUCGAGGCCGAUGUAAGCUUCACCGACGGCAAUUUCAAGGAUCUAAACCCCACCAUGACCUUCGCCGAGUACAUUGAGGCCGACUGCAGUGUUGCUAUCUGCGACGAGGUGUCGCGGUAUGACGCCAUCGAGGAGGCAUUGCCUCGUGCCGACACCAUUGUGACAUCGAACAAGGAUGACAAUGUCACAGAUGUUGCCAUACCUGAGCCUUCCACACUUGCUGAUGUGCUAGGACACAUAGACAGUAUUCGUAACUUCAUCUGUUCACCCGAUACCGCAGAAAACCUCCUUUUGAAUGUUGCCUAACUCGAGCGAAAGCUCUUGCAUCUUGGGUAGGACAAGGUGCAAAAGAAACUGACCAUUAUUAUUUUUUUUUUUAAGUUUGCACCGGCUGGCGGGAGUCGUGAAAGUGGAUUGUGGUGCAAGGCUUGUUCAAUGAAGCAUGAUUGGCAUCCAUACUGCAGUAUUCUUUUUGCAUUUACUUUUUUGGUGAUUUGGGUUUCCAAGCCCCGCAGAGUAUUAGUUUGUAGAUUAAAUUGAAGUUUCUCGUAAA
Dermacentor andersoni is the source of this 4889-nucleotide long non-coding RNA. RefSeq lists it as uncharacterized. Lineage: Eukaryota; Metazoa; Arthropoda; Arachnida; Ixodida; Ixodidae. The record is from RefSeq and is a predicted model, not a curated record.